RNAcentral lists this ribosomal RNA (581 nucleotides) under uncultured Pseudofulvimonas sp. RNAcentral describes it as "bacterial SSU rRNA". It matches the Rfam family "Bacterial small subunit ribosomal RNA", at positions 355 to 930 of the family's 1533-position model. The record is from RNAcentral. Lineage: Bacteria; Pseudomonadati; Pseudomonadota; Gammaproteobacteria; Lysobacterales; Rhodanobacteraceae.
UGGGGAAUAUUGGACAAUGGGCGCAAGCCUGAUCCAGCAAUGCCGCGUGUGUGAAGAAGGCCUUCGGGUUGUAAAGCACUUUUAUCAGGGAAGAAAUCCUGCGGGCUAAUACCCUGUGGGGAUGACGGUACCUGAGGAAUAAGCACCGGCUAACUUCGUGCCAGCAGCCGCGGUAAUACGAAGGGUGCAAGCGUUAAUCGGAAUUACUGGGCGUAAAGGGUGCGUAGGCGGUUCGUUAAGUCGGAUGUGAAAGCCCUGGGCUCAACCUGGGAAUGGCAUCCGAAACUGGCGGGCUGGAGUGCGGUAGAGGAUGGUGGAAUUCCCGGUGUAGCGGUGAAAUGCGUAGAGAUCGGGAGGAACACCAGUGGCGAAGGCGGCCAUCUGGACCAGCACUGACGCUGAGGCACGAAAGCGUGGGGAGCAAACAGGAUUAGAUACCCUGGUAGUCCACGCCCUAAACGAUGCGGACUGGAUGUUGGGGGCAACUAGGCCUUCAGUAUCGAAGCUAACGCGUUAAGUCCGCCGCCUGGGGAGUACGGUCGCAAGACUGAAACUCAAAGGAAUUGACGGACAGUGUGAGU